CGUACCAAGGCAUUCCUUUCGAAAGUUCUUUGAGGACACCGGUAUACCGAAUCUGUCAUUGUUUUCAUAGUGAAAAAUUCUGAAAUUGACUUAUUUCGUUGACAAAACACGAUGAACUACGUAUAAUUAAACACGGUGGCCGCAUACGAGAAAAGGCGGUCAAUAUGCGUAGGAGGAAUCUCAUCAUGACUGGUAAGGUAAAAUGGUUCAGUGCAGAAAAAGGUUACGGCUUUAUUUCCCGGGAAAACGGCAACGAUGUUUUCGUUCAUUUCUCGGCAAUUCAGGACGAGGGCUUCAAGACUCUGAAUGAAGGCCAGACCGUCGAGUUCGACAUUGUCGAAGGCGCACGCGGCCCGCAGGCAGCCAACGUCGUAAAAGCUUAAUCAU
Molecule: small RNA, 387 nt
Filed under: bovine gut metagenome
Description: cspA thermoregulator
Source: RNAcentral